GUCGACAGAGAGGAGAGUCGGGGGGACUGAGAUCGGGGUCAUAUUCAUUAUGGCACAUCAUAGCAAAACAGAAUACGAAAAACAAACGUUUCUUAUUGGACAACUUCAGGCCGUUUUCGAUCGGUUUUCUUCCAUGCGAUGCCAAAUGAACACAACCCAGGAGUGUCAGUCUGUGUGUAAUGUGUCAGGUGUGAGAUCUGUAUUUGAGACCAGAAGAUACAGCCUUUUAUUCUCUGGUAGUGUUAAAGGAUUAGUUAACCAGGUUUACAUUUCCUCAGGCUUGUUCAACAUUACAGGCCGACUGAUCUACACAGACCCUUGCAUCAUAAAUAUCUACCUCAUUGUUCAUUUGUAGAGGAGUCAAGUCACAUUAGGGUUUUGACCCUCGAGAACACGGCCCUCCUCCUAUUCAGUCCCUCUGCUCUGGGCUCAGUUCCUCCUCUCUUCUCUCCCUUUGGUCUUUUUCCCUAAGUGCUACUUUGUUUAUGGAUUAGAAAUUGCUUCCUUCCUUCCUCCGGCAGCUCGCCCCCCUGGGGCCAGUGUGUGUGUGUUGUAUUUACCACGGGGGUGACCUGUAAACCCAUAUAUGAUGGAAGUAAUAAUGCUCCCGUCUCUCUCCUGUCCCAUUCUACUUUGGACACCAUUUUGAGAUCUCUGGGUCCACCUCAAGUCGUAAGUGGUUUCUUUUUAAUAAUAUAGAUGAUGCGCCUCACUCUCUUCUCUCGCUCUCCGUUGGAGAAUGAACAGUAUGAUGUCCGAUGUUUCCGUGGUCGGAGGAGAUGGGAAGGUCACCGUCUGCUGUUAACCUUUCGGUCUGUUUUGUCCUUCAGAAGAAAGAGCCAGACAACAAGAACUUACUUAUAAAUCAAUUGACUUUAUUUAAAAUCAGCGACGUCAGGCAGUUUACACUAUGAACAAUAAGAAAAUAAAAAGACAGAAACAUAAAAUAAAAAGAUGAAAGAUCCAGAUAACAACCACUGCUCUUGGCACCGGAUAGAACAUUAUGAAAACAACUAAUAUUAUACUAGGCUUGUGUGGGGGGGGGGGGGGGGGUAAUCAUGUUGUGAUGGUGAGAGCCGGACUAGUGAACUUAAAUACCAGCUUUUUACUUCGUCUCAGAGGACAUGUUCCAGGCUGAUUACGCUGUUUAACCUAUCAGCUGACCACAUCUAGGUCCAGUUAACCAGACAGAUUAACCCUUCAGUGUCUGGAUAGGUGCUGACCACAUCUAGGUCCAGUUAACCAGACAGAUUAACCCUUCAGUGUCUGGAUAGGUGCUGACCACAUCUAGGUCCAGUUAACCAGACAGAUUAACCCUUCAGUGGCUGGAUAGGUGCUGACCACAUCUAGGUCCAGUUAACCAGACAGAUUAACCCUUCAGUGUCUGGAUAGGUGCUGACCACAUCUAGGUCCAGUUAACCAGACAGAUUAACCCUUCAGUGUCUGGAUAGGUGCUGACCACAUCUAGGUCCAGCUAACCAGACAGAUUAACCCUUCAGUGGCUGGAUAGGUGCUGACCACAUCUAGGUCCAGCUAACCAGACAGAUUAACCCUUCAGUGUCUGGAUAGGUGCUGACCACAUCUAGGUCCAGUUAACCAGACAGAUUAACCCUUCAGUGUCUGGAUAGGUGCUGACCACAUCUAGGUCCAGCUAACCAGACAGAUUAACCCUUCAGUGUCUGGAUAGGUGCUGACCACAUCUAGGUCCAGUUAACCGGACAGAUUAACCCUUCAGUGUCUGGAUAGGUACUGACCACAUCUAGGUCCAGUUAACCAGACAGAUUAACCCUUCAGUGGCUGGAUAGGUGCUGACCACAUCUAGGUCCAGUUAACCAGACAGAUUAAACCUUCAGUGUCUGGAUAGGUGCUGACCACAUCUAGGUCCAGUUAACCAGACAGAUUAAACCUUCAGUGUCUGGAUAGGUGCUGACCACAUCUAGGUCCAGUUAACCGGACAGAUUUAAGUCUGGUACCUGUUUCAAAAUGUAUUCCAAUGAAAAAUCUCCAUGGAGAAUGUUUAGUCCAGGACAAAUCUGUGUCUGGGAAACAGAUACCAUAGGAUGUAGCAAUCUGAUACCCGACGGUGAAGUCCAUGACGUGGCAUAGAACCAUUGGUUGUGGUGUGCAGCUCGACUGGAACAGACCUAAUAAGCACAACUUUCAGAUUGAACCAUGUUUUAUAUAUCAUGACCCUCACACAACCCCACUCCUGAACCCCCGACCUUUGAACCCCACUACCGUCACUAAGGUCAGGGGGUCAUGUCCCUUAUAAUCAUCUUCACUAUCAUCAUCAUCAUCAAUUCUUCAUUAAAAACAAGGAGGAAUUUUCAUAUGACAUAUGCUUCGUUUUAAAAUGGUCGUUCACCACAAAAAAAUAAAAUUAUGUAAAAAAAAAA
Non-coding RNA from Oncorhynchus mykiss (rainbow trout), 2396 nucleotides. NCBI's taxonomy places the organism in Eukaryota, Metazoa, Chordata, Actinopteri, Salmoniformes, Salmonidae. The record is from RefSeq and is a predicted model, not a curated record.